UACAGAGGGUGCGAGCGUUAAUCGGAAUUACUGGGCGUAAAGGGUGCGUAGGCGGGUCUUUAAGUCAGGGGUGAAAUCCUGGAGCUCAACUCCAGAACUGCCUUUGAUACUGAAGAUCUUGAGUUCGGGAGAGGUGAGUGGAACUGCGAGUGUAGAGGUGAAAUUCGUAGAUAUUCGCAAGAACACCAGUGGCGAAGGCGGCCAUCUGGACGGUAACUGACGCUGAGACGCGAAAGCGUGGGGAGCAAACAGG
Molecule: ribosomal RNA, 253 nt
Filed under: uncultured bacterium
Lineage: Bacteria
Description: partial 16S ribosomal RNA
Rfam family: Bacterial small subunit ribosomal RNA
Source: RNAcentral